ACCUGGCACACAAUGUAGAUUUCUGUGUUAGUUAGGCAACAGCUACAUUGUCUGCUGGGUUUC
Molecule: microRNA precursor, 63 nt
Filed under: Otolemur garnettii (small-eared galago)
Lineage: Eukaryota; Metazoa; Chordata; Mammalia; Primates; Galagidae
Description: microRNA oga-mir-221 precursor
Gene: oga-mir-221
Rfam family: mir-221 microRNA precursor family
Source: miRBase by way of RNAcentral